Argiope bruennichi is the source of this 226-nucleotide long non-coding RNA. RefSeq lists it as uncharacterized. The record is from RefSeq and is a predicted model, not a curated record. The transcript has 3 exons. Lineage: Eukaryota; Metazoa; Arthropoda; Arachnida; Araneae; Araneidae.
UCAACGGCAAGAGAGAAAAUUUUGCAGCAACAUUGUGCUCAGCUAUUCUGAAUCCAUCUGUGAUUUCCAUCAAGAAUUUAUUUUAAACUGCGGCAAUCCGAUCGGAUUAGAGAAAACCGUCUUUUAUGUCUAUUAUGAACAAUCCAUCGGCAUGUCUUUAAUUAUUACAAGUGACCCAUGGUCAUACAGUCGUUAUAAGAAAACUCCCAGUGCUGCAAAAUACUGC